GCACCGGCCGCCUGUUGGAGAAGGCAGGCAGUCUGUAAAACUGUCGCUCACUGAAGCUUAGAAGGUUCGAAUCCUUCCCGGUGCA
Molecule: transfer RNA, 85 nt
Filed under: bacterium
Lineage: Bacteria
Description: tRNA-Tyr
Rfam family: tRNA
About the family: Transfer RNA (tRNA) molecules are approximately 80 nucleotides in length. Their secondary structure includes four short double-helical elements and three loops (D, anti-codon, and T loops).
Source: RNAcentral